AAACUCUUCCCCAGGCCAAAUCAGUAGAAACUGCACUCAUCUUAUCUCAUUUGGAAAUUACCCUUUGCAGAUCAUGCAGUCUGAUAGUCUGAUUGCCUGUGAUCACCUAUGGACCAACCUGUCAAGGCCAGAUCCAAGAAUGACUCACCAAAGUUACCAGUAGGGGAUUGGAUUGGAGCCCACUUUAGAGCAUUUGCUUGUGGAAGGACCCAUGGGGAACCAUUCUAUGGAGCAUGUGCAGUGUGGAGCCUGUACUUUGGAUUUUUCCUAUGCGACAUAUGUUGGGGCCCCUUGAUAAAGGGCGUUAAUAAAUCAAUCUCAUGCUUGGUUCCCAUGUACUUCCUUUCCCAUGUGUUCAUCUAGGUGAGCCUGAGGCUGAUGUCUUUCUGCUUUGUGUUUCUUUCCCUGGGUAUAGAGGACCAGAUAGAAAUCCUGAGAUGAAUAUUUCUAAUCUUGGCAGCAACCUUCCAAGUUGGAGGGGCUGGGAGCUCCUGGGUUUGAGUGCUGAUUGACCAGUAGUAGAUGACCUCUGAAACAACUUCUUGGAGAAGAUGACUACCACCAGGAAGAUGAACCUAAGUCACAUCUUCAAGAGAUGAAGAAAAAAGGAUAAAGUGGAAAUUAUUAUAGUACAUCAUAGCUGCUGCUUCUAUUGCUGUUAUCCGCUCUAAGCCGCUCAUGGGAAUAAGGAAAUCAUAGGAUCAUAGGACUAAAUAAAU
Long non-coding RNA from Vombatus ursinus (common wombat), 719 nucleotides. RefSeq lists it as uncharacterized. NCBI's taxonomy places the organism in Eukaryota, Metazoa, Chordata, Mammalia, Diprotodontia, Vombatidae. The record is from RefSeq and is a predicted model, not a curated record. The transcript has 3 exons.